RNAcentral lists this ribosomal RNA (540 nucleotides) under uncultured bacterium. RNAcentral's name for it is "partial 16S ribosomal RNA". It matches the Rfam family "Bacterial small subunit ribosomal RNA", at positions 28 to 523 of the family's 1533-position model. The record is from RNAcentral.
GAUGAACGCUGGCGGUGUGCCUAAUACAUGCAAGUCGUACGCAUUCUCGUUUCUGAUUGACGGUGCUUGCACCUAAUUGACGAGACAUUGGAAUGAGUGGCGGACGGGUGAGUAACACGUGGGUAACCUGCCCAGAAGUGGGGGAUAACAUUUGGAAGCAGAUGCUAAUACCGCAUAAAAGUCAAAACCACAUGGUUUUGAUUUAAAAGAUGGCCUUUGUGCUAUCAUUUCUGGAUGGACCCGCGGCGUAUUAGCUAGUUGGUAAGGUAACGGCUUACCAAGGCAAUGAUACGUAGCCGAACUGAGAGGUUGAUCGGCCACAAUGGGACUGAGACACGGCCCAUACUCCUACGGGAGGCAGCAGUAGGGAACCUUCCACAAUGGGCGCAAGCCUGAUGGAGCAACACCGCGUGAGUGAAGAAGGGCUUCGGCUCGUAAAACUCUGUUGUUAAAGAAGAACGUAUCUAAGAGUAACUGCUUAGGUAGUGACGGUAUUUAACCAGAAAGCCACGGCUAACUACGUGCCAGCAGCCGCCGUAA